AUCAUUUUGUGGCUGAUAUGUGUGAUGAGGGGGUUUUCACACUCUUAUGUGGGAUGGGAAACGUCUUUAGAACAGUGGCACUUUACCUGUCUUAUA
Molecule: small nucleolar RNA, 96 nt
Organism: Papio anubis (olive baboon)
Lineage: Eukaryota; Metazoa; Chordata; Mammalia; Primates; Cercopithecidae
Source: Ensembl